UGCAGUCGAGCGAACAGACGAGGAGCUUGCUCCUCUGACGUUAGCGGCGGACGGGUGAGUAACACGUGGAUAACCUACCUAUAAGACUGGGAUAACUUCGGGAAACCGGAGCUAAUACCGGAUAAUAUAUUGAACCGCAUGGUUCAAUAGUGAAAGACGGUUUUGCUGUCACUUAUAGAUGGAUCCGCGCCGCAUUAGCUAGUUGGUAAGGUAACGGCUUACCAAGGCAACGAUGCGUAGCCGACCUGAGAGGGUGAUCGGCCACACUGGAACUGAGACACGGUCCAGACUCCUACGGGAGGCAGCAGUAGGGAAUCUUCCGCAAUGGGCGAAAGCCUGACGGAGCAACGCCGCGUGAGUGAUGAAGGUCUUCGGAUCGUAAAACUCUGUUAUUAGGGAAGAACAAAUGUGUAAGUAACUAUGCACGUCUUGACGGUACCUAAUCAGAAAGCCACGGCUAACUACGUGCCAGCAGCCGCGGUAAUACGUAGGUGGCAAGCGUUAUCCGGAAUUAUUG
This 517-nucleotide ribosomal RNA is filed under the name Staphylococcus sp. Its description in RNAcentral is "bacterial SSU rRNA". It matches the Rfam family "Bacterial small subunit ribosomal RNA", at positions 56 to 556 of the family's 1533-position model. Lineage: Bacteria; Bacillati; Bacillota; Bacilli; Caryophanales; Staphylococcaceae. The record is from RNAcentral.